ACUUGUGUGGAAGUCAGAGAGCACCUUGUGAGAGUUGGUUCUGAUUCCAUCAUGUGAGCUCCAGGGAUCACCCUCAGGUUGUCAGGCUUAGAAGCGUCUCACAGGCUCUGAGUCAUCUGUAGUUCUUCAGUGUGCUUUCUUUCACUCCUCAUGGUCCUUUUCAGCAAAUAGUAAUACCUUAUAAUCUUAAUGCUGCAUAUACUCAUAAUUUUCAUAAAAUCCAGUAGUAAUCAUUUU
RNAcentral lists this long non-coding RNA (237 nucleotides) under Mus musculus (house mouse). RNAcentral describes it as "long non-coding RNA chr9:105405512-105405749". Lineage: Eukaryota; Metazoa; Chordata; Mammalia; Rodentia; Muridae. The record is from RNAcentral.